This 75-nucleotide non-coding RNA is filed under the name uncultured Prevotella sp. Its description in RNAcentral is "L13-Bacteroidia ribosomal protein leader". It matches the Rfam family "L13-Bacteroidia ribosomal protein leader". Lineage: Bacteria; Pseudomonadati; Bacteroidota; Bacteroidia; Bacteroidales; Prevotellaceae. The record is from RNAcentral.
GGGGUGAACUUAGAGCCCCCAAGUGUCGUGGUGUUAAUAGCUCUGCCCUUGGCCGAGCAGAGUGGUUAGUGAAUC